AUUGAACGCUAGCGGGAUGCUUUACACAUGCAAGUCGAACGGCAGCGCGGACUUCGGUCUGGCGGCGAGUGGCGAACGGGUGAGUAAUAUAUCGGAACGUACCCAGUAGCGGGGGAUAACUACUCGAAAGAGUGGCUAAUACCGCAUACGUCCUACGGGAGAAAGCAGGGGACCUUCGGGCCGUUGUCACUAUUGGUAGGCGGCCGGACUAUCGGAGUUAGCUAGUUGGUGGGGUAAAGGGACCGUACCCAAACGGACGG
This 260-nucleotide ribosomal RNA is filed under the name uncultured bacterium. RNAcentral describes it as "partial 16S ribosomal RNA". It matches the Rfam family "Bacterial small subunit ribosomal RNA", at positions 30 to 280 of the family's 1533-position model. The record is from RNAcentral.